UGCAUCGACCGGGAAUCGAACCCGGGUCACCCGCGUGGCAGGCGAGUAUUCUACCACUAGACCACCGAUGC
This 71-nucleotide transfer RNA is filed under the name Pomacea canaliculata. RNAcentral describes it as "tRNA-Gly". The record is from RNAcentral. Lineage: Eukaryota; Metazoa; Mollusca; Gastropoda; Architaenioglossa; Ampullariidae.